CCAGACUCCUACGGGAGGCAGCAGUGGGGAAUAUUGGGCAAUGGGCGCAAGCCUGACCCAGCGACGCCGCGUGAGGGAAGACGGUCUUCGGAUUGUAAACCUCUUUCAGCAGGGAAGACAAAAGGAUGGUACCUGCAGAAGAAGCCACGGCUAACUACGUGCCAGCAGCCGCGGUAAUACGUAGGUGGCAAGCGUUAUCCGGAAUUACUGGGUGUAAAGGGAGCGUAGGCGGGAUUGCAAGUUGGAUGUGAAAACUGCGGGCUCAACCCGGAGCGUGCAUUCAAAACUGCGAUUCUUGAGUGAAGUAGAGGCAAGCGGAAUUCCUAGUGUAGCGGUGAAAUGCGUAGAUAUUAGGAGGAACACCAGUGGCGAAGGCGGCUUGCUGGGCUUUUACUGACGCUGAGGCUCGAAAGUGUG
RNAcentral lists this ribosomal RNA (417 nucleotides) under uncultured bacterium. Its description in RNAcentral is "bacterial SSU rRNA". It matches the Rfam family "Bacterial small subunit ribosomal RNA", at positions 331 to 763 of the family's 1533-position model. The record is from RNAcentral.